RNAcentral lists this ribosomal RNA (253 nucleotides) under uncultured bacterium. RNAcentral describes it as "partial 16S ribosomal RNA". It matches the Rfam family "Bacterial small subunit ribosomal RNA", at positions 524 to 776 of the family's 1533-position model. The record is from RNAcentral.
UACGGGGGGGGCAAGCGUUGUUCGGAAUUACUGGGCGUAAAGGGCUCGUAGGUGGCCAACUAAGUCAUACGUGAAAUCCCUCGGCUUAACCGGGGAACUGCGUCUGAUACUGGAUGGCUUGAGGUUGGGAGAGGGAUGCGGAAUUCCAGGUGUAGCGGUGAAAUGCGUAGAUAUCCGGAGGAACACCGGUGGCGAAGGCGGCUUCCUGGACCGACACUGACGCUGAGGCGCGAAAGCGUGGGGAGCGAACAGG